Molecule: ribosomal RNA, 252 nt
Filed under: uncultured bacterium
Lineage: Bacteria
Description: partial 16S ribosomal RNA
Rfam family: Bacterial small subunit ribosomal RNA
Source: RNAcentral
UACGUAGGUGGCAAGCGUUGUCCGGAAUUACUGGGUGUAAAGGGAGCGUAGGCGGGGCCGCAAGCCUCAUGUGAAAUCGACCGGCUCAACCGGUCGCUGCGUGAGGAACUGCGGUUCUUGAGUGGAGUAGAGGCAGGCGGAAUUCCUAGUGUAGCGGUGAAAUGCGUAGAUAUUAGGAGGAACACCAGUGGCGAAGGCGGCCUGCUGGGCUCUAACUGACGCUGAGGCUCGAAAGCGUGGGUAGCAAACAGG